RNAcentral lists this ribosomal RNA (191 nucleotides) under Marinobacter sp. L14-D08. RNAcentral's name for it is "partial 16S ribosomal RNA". It matches the Rfam family "Bacterial small subunit ribosomal RNA", at positions 340 to 524 of the family's 1533-position model. Lineage: Bacteria; Pseudomonadati; Pseudomonadota; Gammaproteobacteria; Pseudomonadales; Marinobacteraceae. The record is from RNAcentral.
UACGGGAGGCAGCAGUGGGAAUAUUGGACAAUGGGGGCAACCCUGAUCCAGCCAUGCCGCGUGUGUGAAGAAGGCUUUCGGGUUGUAAAGCACUUUCAGUGAGGAGGGAAACCUUAUGGCUAAUACCCAUGAGGCUUGACGUUACUCACAGAAGAAGCACCGGCUAACUCCGUGCCAGCAGCCGCGGUAAU